UGAACAACACUCUAAAAGAACUUUACGC
RNAcentral lists this small RNA (28 nucleotides) under Bombyx mori (domestic silkworm). RNAcentral's name for it is "ovarian small RNA-30642". Lineage: Eukaryota; Metazoa; Arthropoda; Insecta; Lepidoptera; Bombycidae. The record is from RNAcentral.